This 1509-nucleotide ribosomal RNA is filed under the name fermentation metagenome. RNAcentral describes it as "bacterial LSU rRNA". It matches the Rfam family "Bacterial large subunit ribosomal RNA", at positions 832 to 2311 of the family's 2925-position model. The record is from RNAcentral.
AUCGAACUCGGAGAUAGCUGGUUCUCCUCGAAAUAGCUUUAGGGCUAGCCUCAGAGUAAGAGUCAUGGAGGUAGAGCACUGAUCGAGCUAGGGGCCCAACAAGGUUACCGAACUCUUUCAAACUCCGAAUGCCAUGAGUUAAUCUCUGGGAGUCAGACUGCGGGGGAUAAGCUCCGUAGUCGAAAGGGAAACAGCCCAGACCGACAGCUAAGGUCCCCAAGUGCGAACUAAGUGGAAAAGGAUGUGGAACUGCACAGACAACCAGGAUGUUGGCUUAGAAGCAGCCACUCAUUUAAAGAGUGCGUAAUAGCUCACUGGUCAAGUGGUUCUGCGCCGAAAAUGUAACGGGGCUCAAGUUCGCCACCGAAGCUUCGGAUGUGUUGAUUAUCUUGUAUAGUUGAUGCAUGGUAGAGGAGCGUUCCAACAGCGUAGAAGGUAGACUGAAAAGACUGCUGGAGUGGUUGGAAGUGAGAAUGCCGGUAUGAGUAGCGAAAAGGAAGGUGAGAAUCCUUCCCGCCGAAAACCUAAGGAUUCCUGAGGAAGGUUCGUCCGCUCAGGGUAAGUCGGGACCUAAGACGAGGCCGAAGGGCGUAGUCGAUGGACAACAGGUUGAAAUUCCUGUACCACCGAAGAUCGUUGGAGUGAAGUGGUGACACAGAAGGGUAGGUCAUCAUCCUGAUGGAUGGGUGUCCAAGCGAGUAGGGAGCAGGGCAGGCAAAUCCGCCUUGCAAAAAUCCUGAGACGUGAUGGGGAAGCGAAUUAAGUAGCCGAACUGAUUGAUCCCAUGCUGUCAAGAAAAGCCACUAGCGAGAUUGUAGGUGCCCGUACCGCAAACCGACACAGGUAGGUGAGGAGAGAAUCCUAAGGCGCGCGAGAGAACCCCUGUUAAGGAACUCGGCAAAAUGACUCCGUAACUUCGGGAUAAGGAGUGCCUUUGUAGUGUGACAUUGAACAAAUGAAGCAUGAAGAGGCCGCAGAGAAAUGGCCCAAGCGACUGUUUAUCAAAAACACAGGUCUCUGCUAAGUGGCAACACGAAGUAUAGGGGCUGACGCCUGCCCAAUGCCGGAAGGUUAAGAGGAGAGGUUAGGAGCAAUCCAAAGCUUUGAAUCGAAGCCCCGGUCAAUGGCGGCCGUAACUAUAACGGUCCUAAGGUAGCGAAAUUCCUUGUCGGGUAAGUUCCGACCUGCACGAAAGGCGUAACGACUUGGGCGCUGUCUCGACAGGGGGCUCGGCGAAAUUGUAGUACCUGUGAAGAUGCAGGUUACCCGCGACAAGACGGAAAGACCCCAUGGAGCUUCACUGUAGCUUGGUAUGGAAUUUUGGUAUGAAAUGUAUAGGAUAGGUGGGAGACUUGGAAGCCGGGACGCUAGUCUCGGUGGAGUCACAAGUGGAAUACCACUCUUUUCAUAGUAGAGUUCUAACUGGCGGCCAUGAAUCUGGUCACAGGACAGUAUCAGGUGGGCAGUUUGACUGGGGCGGUCGCCUCCUAAAAGGUAACGGAGGCGCCC